AUUGAACGCUGGCGGCAGGCCUAACACAUGCAAGUCGAACGGUAACAGGAAGCAGCUUGCUGCUUCGCUGACGAGUGGCGGACGGGUGAGUAAUGUCUGGGAAGCUGCCUGAUGGAGGGGGAUAACUACUGGAAACGGUAGCUAAUACCGCAUAAUGUCGCAAGACCAAAGAGGGGGACCUUCGGGCCUCUUGCCAUCGGAUGUGCCCAGAUGGGAUUAGCUUGUUGGUGGGGUAACGGCUCACCAAGGCGACGAUUCCUAGCUGGUCUGAGAGGAUGACAAGCCACACUGGAACUGAGACACGGUCAAGACUCCUACGGGAGGCAGCAGUGGGGAAUAUUGCACAAUGGGCGCAAGCCUGAUGCAGCCAUGCCGCGUGUAUGAAGAAGGCCUUCGGGUUGUAAAGUACUUUCAGCGGGGAGGAAGGGAGUAAAGUUAAUACCUUUGCUCAUUGACGUUACCCGCAGAAGAAGCACCGGCUAACUCCGUG
Molecule: ribosomal RNA, 490 nt
Filed under: uncultured bacterium
Lineage: Bacteria
Description: partial 16S ribosomal RNA
Rfam family: Bacterial small subunit ribosomal RNA
Source: RNAcentral